UAGGUAGGUAACAUUGGUGGGAAAGAAUUUUCUGAGUCACUAGCCCCAGAUGUCUAGAAACUUCUUAUUUCAAGUAGCGGCCGUCCUGUUGUCAGAAAGAAGGCUGCUCUAUGCCUUCUGCGGCUUUAUAGGAAGAAUCCUGAUGUUGUGAAUAUUGAUUUCUGGGCUGAUCGAAUGGCACAACUUCUAGAUGAGCGCUACCUAGGUGUGCUGACAUCUGUCAUGACUCAUGACCCUUUUUGUUUCAUUAGUAUCCAACAAUGCGGAAGCAUAUUGGAAUUGCCUUCCAGAAUGU
Long non-coding RNA from Panicum virgatum (switchgrass), 295 nucleotides. RefSeq lists it as uncharacterized. The record is from RefSeq and is a predicted model, not a curated record. NCBI's taxonomy places the organism in Eukaryota, Viridiplantae, Streptophyta, Magnoliopsida, Poales, Poaceae. The transcript is spliced from 3 exons.